AUAGAUCAUAAUUCCUGGAAUGGUUUAUGGUCCAAAUGAUUUAUCGCCAUAGGAUGGGACUGCGGCCUAUCAGCUUGUUGGUGGGGUAAUGGCCCACCAAGGCUAUAACAGGUACGGGCUCUGAGAGGAGAAGCCCGGAGAUGGGUACUGAGACACGGACCCAGGCCCUAUGGGGCGCAGCAGGCGAGAAACCUUAGCAAUGUGCGAAAGCACGACUAGGUUAAUCCGAGUGACUUCUGCUGAAGAAAUCUUUUGUCAGUUCUAAAUCUACUGGUGAAUAAGGGGUGGGCAAGUCUGGUGUCAGCCGCCGCGGUAAUACCAGCACCUCGAGUGGUUAGGAGGUUUAUUGGGCCUAAGACAUCCGUAGCCGGCUAUGCAAGUCUCCGGUUAAAUCCAUCUGCUUAACAGAUGGGCUGCCGGAGAUACUACAUAGCUAGGGAGCGGGAGAGGCAGACGGUAUUCGGUGGGUAGGGGUAAAAUCCUCUGAUCCAUUGAGGACCACCAGUGGCGAAGGCGGUCUGCCAGAACGCGUUCGACGGUGAGGGAUGAAAGCUGGCGGAGCAAACCCGAUUAGAUACCCGGGUAGUCCCAGCUGUAAACUAUCGGGCUUCUCCUGAUCCAUCCCUUAUGUGUUAUGCACUUGGUGGGGCAAUACCCCAACUUUGCCUGAGGGCCGCAGUCCCCUCCUAUGGCGAUUAAUCAAUUUGACGGAAACCAUUCCGGGAAAUAUC
Molecule: ribosomal RNA, 731 nt
Filed under: uncultured archaeon
Lineage: Archaea
Description: bacterial SSU rRNA
Rfam family: Archaeal small subunit ribosomal RNA
Source: RNAcentral